This 595-nucleotide non-coding RNA is filed under the name Pongo abelii (Sumatran orangutan). Lineage: Eukaryota; Metazoa; Chordata; Mammalia; Primates; Hominidae. The record is from RNAcentral.
AGGGGUGCCUGAGGAGAAAGGGGUGCUGGUUCUUCCUUAUAUCAUAUCCCCUGCCUGCCUCAGCUGGGCUCUGACCCAGCCAGCAGACUGGAGUCCUCUUCUGCAUGGAGCAGCACCAAUGGAGGCUAGCGGGUCUGCAGAGGAGCAGCUCAAGUCAUGCGAUUAUUGGAGCUUGCAGCAAAAUGACUGGAACAACAUCUGGGCUGCAGCAAGCUGGCCAGGACAUUUUAAAAGAGCUCCUGUGGUGCCUCCAACUUUGAUUUUACAGAGCUGCGGGGAAAGAAACAGGCUGUGUUCAAGAGCUCAUGUGUUUUGCCUCACAUGUUUUGUCCUCGGUCACUGUGAAGGGCCUCACUCAGCUGGGGACCCUGAGGGACAUUCUUGGGCAGUCAUUCUCUGUCUACUCUGCUAGCUCUCUUAGAAACCUUGGCAUAGUGCCUUCCUGGAAAUCCUGGAUUGCAUCUAAAACCAUGUGGCAGAGGGAGAAACCACAGACAGGCCAUCCUGAGAAGACUCAGGCUGAGAUGAAAGCUCUGCUCUCCAGGGACAAAGCAGCAGGGGACCAGCCAUGCUCAGAGAUACUCCACUGGCCAGU